This 380-nucleotide RNase P RNA is filed under the name Candidatus Dojkabacteria bacterium. Its description in RNAcentral is "RNase P RNA component class A". It matches the Rfam family "Bacterial RNase P class A". Rfam says of the family: Ribonuclease P (RNase P) is a ubiquitous endoribonuclease, found in archaea, bacteria and eukarya as well as chloroplasts and mitochondria. The record is from RNAcentral.
CCAAGCACCCAAAGCAGUUGCUUAUUGGCGAGUGUCAAUAAGAGGAAAGUCCGGACUUCAAGUCGGCUUCGAACAUUAUAAAAUCGAAGUAAGUGCCUGUGUGAGCAGGGUAGGUGAAAGCUUACGGAGAAAAGGGCAACAGAAAGCAAACCGCCAAUUUUUAAUUGGUAAGGGUGAAAAGGCAGUGUAAGAGACUACCGCACUUGUCAGCAAUGGCAAGUGGCGUGGUAACCCCCACUUGAAGCAAGGUUAUUAAGCCGCAAUCAGCUCUGGCUCAUGUCAGAACUGAUAGUUUACUCAGCAGAGCUUUGUGCUUUGUUAGAGGAGGAUUAGAUAGAUAACUGCAUAAACAGAAUUCGGCUUAUUGGGUGCUUGGUUUU